Molecule: ribosomal RNA, 2883 nt
Filed under: Neisseria gonorrhoeae
Lineage: Bacteria; Pseudomonadati; Pseudomonadota; Betaproteobacteria; Neisseriales; Neisseriaceae
Description: partial 23S ribosomal RNA
Rfam family: Bacterial large subunit ribosomal RNA
Source: RNAcentral
UAAGUGCAUCAGGCGGAUGCCUUGGCGAUGAUAGGCGACGAAGGACGUGUAAGCCUGCGAAAAGCGCGGGGGAGCUGGCAAUAAAGCUAUGAUUCCGCGAUGUCCGAAUGGGGAAACCCACUGCAUUCUGUGCAGUAUCCUAAGUUGAAUACAUAGGCUUAGAGAAGCGAACCCGGAGAACUGAACCAUCUAAGUACCCGGAGGAAAAGAAAUCAACCGAGAUUCCGCAAGUAGUGGCGAGCGAACGCGGAGGAGCCUGUACGUAAUAACUGUCGAGAUAGAAGAACAAGCUGGGAAGCUUGACCAUAGCGGGUGACAGUCCCGUAUUCGAAAUCUCAACAGCGGUACUAAGCGUACGAAAAGUAGGGCGGGACACGUGAAAUCCUGUCUGAAUAUGGGGGGACCAUCCUCCAAGGCUAAAUACUCAUCAUCGACCGAUAGUGAACCAGUACCGUGAGGGAAAGGCGAAAAGAACCCCGGGAGGGGAGUGAAACAGAACCUGAAACCUGAUGCAUACAAACAGUGGGAGCGCCCUAGUGGUGUGACUGCGUACCUUUUGUAUAAUGGGUCAACGACUUACAUUCAGUAGCGAGCUUAACCGGAUAGGGGAGGCGUAGGGAAACCGAGUCUUAAUAGGGCGAUGAGUUGCUGGGUGUAGACCCGAAACCGAGUGAUCUAUCCAUGGCCAGGUUGAAGGUGCCGUAACAGGUACUGGAGGACCGAACCCACGCAUGUUGCAAAAUGCGGGGAUGAGCUGUGGGUAGGGGUGAAAGGCUAAACAAACUCGGAGAUAGCUGGUUCUCCCCGAAAACUAUUUAGGUAGUGCCUCGAGCAAGACACUGAUGGGGGUAAAGCACUGUUAUGGCUAGGGGGUUAUUGCAACUUACCAACCCAUGGCAAACUCAGAAUACCAUCAAGUGGUUCCUCGGGAGACAGACAGCGGGUGCUAACGUCCGUUGUCAAGAGGGAAACAACCCAGACCGCCGGCUAAGGUCCCAAAUGAUAGAUUAAGUGGUAAACGAAGUGGGAAGGCACAGACAGCCAGGAUGUUGGCUUAGAAGCAGCCAUCAUUUAAAGAAAGCGUAAUAGCUCACUGGUCGAGUCGUCCUGCGCGGAAGAUGUAACGGGGCUCAAAUCUAUAACCGAAGCUGCGGAUGCCGGUUUACCGGCAUGGUAGGGGAGCGUUCUGUAGGCUGAUGAAGGUGCAUUGUAAAGUGUGCUGGAGGUAUCAGAAGUGCGAAUGUUGACAUGAGUAGCGAUAAAGCGGGUGAAAAGCCCGCUCGCCGAAAGCCCAAGGUUUCCUACGCAACGUUCAUCGGCGUAGGGUGAGUCGGCCCCUAAGGCGAGGCAGAAAUGCGUAGUCGAUGGGAAACAGGUUAAUAUUCCUGUACUUGAUUCAAAUGCGAUGUGGGGACGGAGAAGGUUAGGUUGGCAAGCUGUUGGAAUAGCUUGUUUAAGCCGGUAGGUGGAAGACUUAGGCAAAUCCGGGUUUUCUUAACACCGAGAAGUGAUGACGAGUGUCUACGGACACGAAGCAACCGAUACCACGCUUCCAGGAAAAGCCACUAAGCUUCAGUUUGAAUCGAACCGUACCGCAAACCGACACAGGUGGGCAGGAUGAGAAUUCUAAGGCGCUUGAGAGAACUCGGGAGAAGGAACUCGGCAAAUUGAUACCGUAACUUCGGGAGAAGGUAUGCCCUCUAAGGUUAAGGACUUGCUCCGUAAGCCCCGGAGGGUCGCAGAGAAUAGGUGGCUGCGACUGUUUAUUAAAAACACAGCACUCUGCCAACACGAAAGUGGACGUAUAGGGUGUGACGCCUGCCCGGUGCCGGAAGGUUAAUUGAAGAUGUGCAAGCAUCGGAUCGAAGCCCCGGUAAACGGCGGCCGUAACUAUAACGGUCCUAAGGUAGCGAAAUUCCUUGUCGGGUAAGUUCCGACCCGCACGAAUGGCGUAACGAUGGCCACACUGUCUCCUCCCGAGACUCAGCGAAGUUGAAGUGGUUGUGAAGAUGCAAUCUACCCGCUGCUAGACGGAAAGACCCCGUGAACCUUUACUGUAGCUUUGCAUUGGACUUUGAAGUCACUUGUGUAGGAUAGGUGGGAGGCUUGGAAGCAGAGACGCCAGUCUCUGUGGAGUCGUCCUUGAAAUACCACCCUGGUGUCUUUGAGGUUCUAACCCAGACCCGUCAUCCGGGUCGGGGACCGUGCAUGGUAGGCAGUUUGACUGGGGCGGUCUCCUCCCAAAGCGUAACGGAGGAGUUCGAAGGUUACCUAGGUCCGGUCGGAAAUCGGACUGAUAGUGCAAUGGCAAAAGGUAGCUUAACUGCGAGACCGACAAGUCGGGCAGGUGCGAAAGCAGGACAUAGUGAUCCGGUGGUUCUGUAUGGAAGGGCCAUCGCUCAACGGAUAAAAGGUACUCCGGGGAUAACAGGCUGAUUCCGCCCAAGAGUUCAUAUCGACGGCGGAGUUUGGCACCUCGAUGUCGGCUCAUCACAUCCUGGGGCUGUAGUCGGUCCCAAGGGUAUGGCUGUUCGCCAUUUAAAGUGGUACGUGAGCUGGGUUUAAAACGUCGUGAGACAGUUUGGUCCCUAUCUGCAGUGGGCGUUGGAAGUUUGACGGGGGCUGCUCCUAGUACGAGAGGACCGGAGUGGACGAACCUCUGGUGUACCGGUUGUAACGCCAGUUGCAUAGCCGGGUAGCUAAGUUCGGAAGAGAUAAGCGCUGAAAGCAUCUAAGCGCGAAACUCGCCUGAAGAUGAGACUUCCCUUGCGGUUUAACCGCACUAAAGGGUCGUUCGAGACCAGGACGUUGAUAGGUGGGGUGUGGAAGCGCGGUAACGCGUGAAGCUAACCCAUACUAAUUGCCCGUGAGGCUUGACUCUAU